AUUGAACGCUAGCGGGAUGCUUUACACAUGCAAGUCGAACGGCAGCGCGGACUUCGGUCUGGCGGCGAGUGGCGAACGGGUGAGUAAUGUAUCGGAACGUGCCCAGUAGCGGGGGAUAACUACGCGAAAGCGUAGCUAAUACCGCAUACGCCCUACGGGGGAAAGCAGGGGAUCGUAAGACCUUGCACUAUUGGAGCGGCCGAUAUCGGAUUAGCUAGUUGGUGAGGUAACGGCUCACCAAGGCGACGAGCCGUAGCUGGUUUGAGAGGACGACCAGCCACACUGGGACUGAGACACGGCCCAGACUCCUACGGGAGGCAGCAGUGGGGAAUUUUGGACAAUGGGGGCAACCCUGAUCCAGCCAUCCCGCGUGUGCGAUGAAGGCCUUCGGGUUGUAAAGCACUUUUGGCAGGAAAGAAACGUCGCGGGCUAAUACCCCGUGGAACUGACGGUACCUGCAGAAUAAGCACCGGCUAACUACGUG
RNAcentral lists this ribosomal RNA (484 nucleotides) under uncultured bacterium. RNAcentral's name for it is "partial 16S ribosomal RNA". It matches the Rfam family "Bacterial small subunit ribosomal RNA", at positions 30 to 507 of the family's 1533-position model. The record is from RNAcentral.